RNAcentral lists this ribosomal RNA (492 nucleotides) under uncultured bacterium. RNAcentral's name for it is "partial 16S ribosomal RNA". It matches the Rfam family "Bacterial small subunit ribosomal RNA", at positions 29 to 507 of the family's 1533-position model. The record is from RNAcentral.
AGUGAACGCUGGCGGCAGGCCUAACACAUGCAAGUCGAACGGCAGCACAGUAAGAGCUUGCUCUUACGGGUGGCGAGUGGCGGACGGGUGAGGAAUACAUCGGAAUCUACUUUUUCGUGGGGGAUAGCGUAGGGAAACUUACGCUAAUACCGCAUACGACCUACGGGUGAAAGCAGGGGAUCUUCGGACCUUGCGCGACUGAAUGAGCCGAUGUCGGAUUAGCUAGUUGGCGGGGUAAAGGCCCACCAAGGCGACGAUCCGUAGCUGGCCUGAGAGGAUGAUCGGCCACACUGGAACUGAGACACGGUCCAGACUCCUACGGGAGGCAGCAGUGGGGAAUCUUGGACAAUGGGCGCAAGCCUGAUCCAGCCAUGCCGCGUGGGUGAAGAAGGUCUUCGGGUUGUAAAGCCCUUUUGUUAGGGAAGAACAGCUGCAGGAUAAUCCCCCGCUGUUCUGACGGUACCCAAAGAGUAAGCCCCGGCUAACUUCGUG